UCUAAUGUGGCAGAAAAGUGCGGUGAAUUUAAGCUUCAUAUAUAAAGGUUAAUCUUUUUUUAGAA
RNAcentral lists this transfer RNA (65 nucleotides) under Metrius contractus. RNAcentral's name for it is "tRNA-Leu". It matches the Rfam family "tRNA". Rfam says of the family: Transfer RNA (tRNA) molecules are approximately 80 nucleotides in length. Their secondary structure includes four short double-helical elements and three loops (D, anti-codon, and T loops). Lineage: Eukaryota; Metazoa; Arthropoda; Insecta; Coleoptera; Carabidae. The record is from RNAcentral.